GUUGAGGUCUGUCCUGACUGACCUUGCUCUGUAGGAUCAUGUCAUUGGAAAUGCCUCAAAGAGUAAAUCUGUAGUCUUGCUUUACCCACAUGUUCACCACCAUGGGCAUGCUGGGAUAUCACUGCAGAACACCA
Molecule: small nucleolar RNA, 134 nt
Organism: Cheilinus undulatus (humphead wrasse)
Lineage: Eukaryota; Metazoa; Chordata; Actinopteri; Labriformes; Labridae
Source: RefSeq, a predicted model, not a curated record